GGAGUUAGCCGGUGCUUCUUCUGUGAGUGAUGUCCUUCCUGCCGGCUAUUAACCCGCAGGCCUUCUUCCUCACUGAAAGUGCUUUACAACCCGAAGGCCUUCUUCACACACGCGGCAUGGCUGGAUCAGGGUUGCCCCCAUUGUCCAAUAUUCCCCACUGCUGCCUCCCGUAGGAGUCUGGGCCGUGUCUCAGUCCCAGUGUGGCUGAUCAUCCUCUCAGACCAGCUACGGAUCGUCGCCUUGGUGAGCCGUUACCUCACCAACCAGCUAAUCCGACAUAGGCUCAUCCGAUAGCGCGAGGCCCGAAGGUCCCCCGCUUUCCCCCGUAGGGCGUAUGUGGUAUUAGCCUGGGUUUCCCCAGGUUAUCCCCCACUACCGGGCAGAUUCCUAUGCAUUACUCACCCGUCCGCCGCUCGCCACCAGGUAGCAAGCUCCCCGUGCUGCCGCUCGACUUGCAUGUGUUAGGCCUGCCGCCAGCGUUCAAUCUGAGCCAGGAUCAAACUCUGA
This 507-nucleotide ribosomal RNA is filed under the name uncultured bacterium. RNAcentral's name for it is "partial 16S ribosomal RNA". The record is from RNAcentral.